Molecule: ribosomal RNA, 364 nt
Filed under: uncultured eukaryote
Lineage: Eukaryota
Description: bacterial SSU rRNA
Rfam family: Eukaryotic small subunit ribosomal RNA
Source: RNAcentral
CAAUAGCGUAUAUUAAAGUUGUUGCGGUUAAAAGCUCGAUAGUUGGAUUUCUGCUGAGGACGACCGGUCCGCCCUCCGGGUCGGAGCGAUCUGGUUCGGGUCCGUUGGCCUGAUCUUCUUGGUUGAAUCGGUAAUCUGCACUUGACUGUGUGGUGCGGUACCCAGGAGCUUUACUUUGAGAAUUAGAAUGUGUUCAAGCUAGGCAGUACGCCUUGAAUACAUUAGCAUGGAAUAAUAAGAUAGGACCUCGGUUCUAUUUUGUUGGUUUCUAGAGCUGAGGUAAUGAUUAAUAGGGAUAGUUGGGGGCAUUCGUAUUUAACUGUCAGAGGUGAAAUUCUUGGAUUUGUUAAAGACGGACUACUGC